GUACUAGUUUUGGCAGCACAUAUACUAAAACUGGAACGAUACAGAGAAGAUUAACAUGGCACCCCCACAAAGAUGACACACAAAUUCUUGAAGUGUUCCAUAUUAAA
RNAcentral lists this small nuclear RNA (107 nucleotides) under Catagonus wagneri (Chacoan peccary). The record is from RNAcentral. Lineage: Eukaryota; Metazoa; Chordata; Mammalia; Artiodactyla; Tayassuidae.